Molecule: ribosomal RNA, 163 nt
Filed under: Brassica juncea var. multiceps
Lineage: Eukaryota; Viridiplantae; Streptophyta; Magnoliopsida; Brassicales; Brassicaceae
Description: 5.8S ribosomal RNA
Rfam family: 5.8S ribosomal RNA
About the family: 5.8S ribosomal RNA (5.8S rRNA) is a component of the large subunit of the eukaryotic ribosome.
Source: RNAcentral
AAACGACUCUCGGCAACGGAUAUCUCGGCUCUCGCAUCGAUGAAGAACGUAGCGAAAUGCGGUACUUGGUGUGAAUUGCAGAAUCCCGUGAACCAUCGAGUCUUUGAACGCAAAUUGCGCCCCAAGCCUUCUGGCCGAGGGCACGUCUGCCUGGGUGUCACAA